CAAGCUGGGAAUUACUUCGUAAUAAUGGCCUGAGAACUUUUCUGUGGCAUUGUUAAUCUCCUACAAGAACUUGACUAUGAGGAAAUAGAAGAAAUUCGGCGCUUGAGAUUACCACGUACAGUACUACGGGAUCGCAGUGACCCAAUGGUAUACCUCACGGAAGAGGAAUUCAUCCAAAGGUAUCGACUAUCAAAGGAUUAGUGAUGUGACAUCAAGCAGAAACUAAAACUAGUGUCUUCACAGCUACAGCAACGUGCACUGAGAAAUUUCAGAAAUAUGAUAUCAGAACUGGAAAAUGAAGGUAAACAAUGUGAUCAGUUUAACAGUGGGCGCUAUACUGAACAGGUACAAUACCUCGCCUCAGAUUUUGACGGGUUUUCAAGAUAGAGCAGCAAUGGAACCUGUUGCAACAUAUAUGUAUCAUACACAGUCUUACCCUUCCUACCCAUAUUCUUACCUAAUACUU
This 466-nucleotide long non-coding RNA is filed under the name Portunus trituberculatus (swimming crab). Its description in RNAcentral is "uncharacterized LOC123500552". The record is from RNAcentral. Lineage: Eukaryota; Metazoa; Arthropoda; Malacostraca; Decapoda; Portunidae.